Molecule: RNA transcript, 3950 nt
Organism: Juglans regia (Persian walnut)
Lineage: Eukaryota; Viridiplantae; Streptophyta; Magnoliopsida; Fagales; Juglandaceae
Gene name: protein RRP6-like 3
Exons: 13
Source: RefSeq, a predicted model, not a curated record
CCCGCCGACGAGCGAUACUACUGCCAUGCCAAAGCCGAAGCCUUUGAAUUUGGAUCGGAAAACAGAGAGGAACGGAUAAAAAAGAUUUAGAUAAAUGGAAGAGAGGUUGAAGUCUAUCAGAUUCAUCGCAAUCACUAUCGGUGGCUUUGUGGCAGCACUCUCAAUCUUCUUCGCCACUGCUCAGUACCGGAGACGCCGGAAGAAUCACCACAAAUGCUCCCCGAAGUCGUGUUAUCUACAAGCUGACCAGACCAAGCCGCAGCACGCAUUUAAGCGAGUCUUGGCGGAUAAUUCCUACUCUCCGUUCAAGCAUUUGAAGCUCGAUGCGUCUCGUCACGAUAAUGCUUCUAAUUCUCAUCCGUAUCAGGCAGAGAUUUUUGAAUUGGUGGAGAAUCCUCGACUUGAGUUCAGCUUCAUUGAUGGAAUAGUGGACUCGGAAAUAAGCGAGGAAUAUACAUGGGUUGAGACCGUGUCACAAUUGAAGGAGCUCCUCGAUGUUUUGAUCAAAGAGAGGGUUUUUGCUGUGGAUACCGAGCAGCAUAGUUUACGAUCCUUUCUAGGAUUUACAGCUCUAAUACAGAUCUCUACUCGCAAGGAGGAUUAUUUGGUGGACACGAUUGCUCUGCAUGAUUCAAUGGGUGUUCUUCGCCCAGUUUUUGCCGAGCCUAGUAUUUGUAAGGUCUUUCAUGGGGCCGAUAAUGAUGUUCUCUGGUUGCAAAGAGACUUUCAUAUAUAUGUUGUUAAUUUAUUUGAUACUGCAAAGGCAUGUGAUCUUCUUUCAAAGCCGCAGAAAUCGCUGGCAUACUUACUUGAAACAUACUGUGGUGUAACCACAAACAAAUUGUUACAGCGUGAAGACUGGAGACAGCGACCCCUGUCGAAAGAAAUGGUGCAAUAUGCUCGAAUAGAUGCACACUAUCUAUUAUAUAUUGCGAAUUGUUUAAUAACUGAGCUCAAACAACAGGGGACUGAAAUCUCUUGUCCCGAUGACAAAUUCGAUUUUGUUCUCGAGGCCAGUAGGCGUUCAAACAUGACUUGUUUGCAACUUUACGCAAAAGAAGUUGAAGCUUUUCCUGGAGAAUCGGCCGCAUCAUCAUUAACUUCUCGUCAUUUGAAUGGUCAAGGAGCUGUUUCAUCAGUUUAUUUUAAAACCGAGUUUCAGGAUCUCGUGAUGCGAUUGUGUGCAUGGAGAGAUAUAAUGGCUCGUGUGCAUGAUGAGAGCCUAAGAUAUGUAUUAUCGGACCAGGCUAUUGUUGCUCUUGCAGACAGACCUCCAAUGACUCUGGCAGAAAUAUGUAGAACAAUAACUCAAGCUGAUUUGAAUGUGGAUUUGAGUUUCAACUCUCUCCUUCCAUCUCCAUCCUCUGUUGUUUGCAGUCAUUUGGAUGAUGUCCAUACCCUGCUCCAGGACAACAUCAGCAACCUUAACGAUAUUUUCCCAAUGAUUCUCCAAAAGUGCCUUGGUUCAAGUGGGAGUUGUCCACUUUCUAUUUUAAAUUAUGCUUUACUGGUUAACUGUAAUCUAAAAGUGUCUUUAGUAUCCAAACAAAACAUGGUAAAAAGUUCAAAGCAAGUUGCUCGAAAGACUUCUCGAGAGCUGUUUGUUCAAAAGUUCUCCUGCAAAACUCCGGUUUAUCAUAAUUGCAAAAUCUUUGCAAAUGAUGGACGGUUACUUUGUUACUGUGACCGCAGGAAGCUUGAAUGGUAUCUCCAUAGAGAGUUAGCUAAACUUGUUGAUGACAAUCCACCUGCCAUUAUGCUUCUUUUUGAACCCAAAGGUCGUCCAGAAGAUGAAGAUAAUGAUUUUUAUAUCCAAAGUAAGAAAAAUAUAUGUGUUUGCUGUGGUGAAGGAAAUCACUACUUGCGCUACAGAAUAAUUCCUUCGUGCUACAGAAUACACUUUCCCGAGCAUUUGAAAAGCCACCGUUCUCAUGAUAUUGUCCUGCUCUGUGUGGACUGCCAUGAAGUUGCCCAUUCUGCUGCUGAGAAGUAUAAAAAACAGAUUGCUGCAGAAUUUGGAAUUCCCCUAUUUGUUAGUAAAGUGGUUGACUCGAAAGAAGUCCAAGUUAUUUCUGGAUCAUCUGAGUCAGCAACAAACGAUGAGGAGGUGGGAGUACCCCCUUUACAAUUGAGAACAGCUGCUAUGGCACUUUUGCGCCAUGGACCAAGAAUGCCAUCCAAGCGACGCGAAGAACUGAUGCAGAUUGUCAUGCGUUAUUAUGGAGGAAGAGAGAUAACUGGGGCAGACUUGGAAGCAGCUUUGCUAGUUGGCAUGAGUCCCCACGAAAGAAGGCGGCUUAAAAAGAAGAAAGGGAUAUCUUUUAAGCAUUCUGCUGGGAGCAUCCUUCCAAAUAUGCAGAAUAAUGUGGGCUGUACGGAGACAUCUUCCAUUGUGGAUGCAUCAGAAGUUGGUAUUCUAAAUAGUUCUGACAGCACUAAAGCAGAAGCAUGCAAUGGACAACAAGAAUUCAGAAAAGCAGAUGAUGAUGUAGGUGACUCCACUAUUGGUGCUGACUCAGGUGUUGAUGAAGUCAAUUAUACUUUUAAAGAUAGCUUAAAGUCUGACACACAUGGAGCAUCUAAUAGAAAAGGUGACUGCAUUGGAAAUUCUGAUGACAAUUAUGAGAGUAGGGGCCCAUCAAAUGGAACCGUUGAGUUGAAUCAUAAGAAAUAUGAUGGAACUGCCCAAUCUAAGCAUAAUUCCAAAUUAUCAUUGUUAGGACAUGGGCCGCAUGGGAAACAAGUUGUAAAUCAUCUGCUAAAGGAAUAUGGUGAGGAUGGUGUUCGUCAAUUCUGUCAAAGGUGGAGACAAGUAUUUGUCGAGGCUCUUCAACCUCGUUUCUUACCUGCUGGCUGGGAUGUAAUGCACAGUGGUAGGCGUGACUUCGGUGAAUUUAGUGUAUACAAUCCUGCCAACAAAGCUUUGGACUUGGUUAAGAGUUAGUCUGUACAUUUUGUGAUGCUUGGAUGAUGUCUUCCAUGAGGUUGCUGCGAUCAUUGGAAUUCUAACGCUGGUGUUGAAUGACAUUAUUUCUGUUUCAGAGCUUUAUGAUCAUUUUUCUGAGUUUCCAGUUCGAGUUAGGGUCUCUCAGCUGCAGUCGGCUCGCACCAAACCGAUGUGGAUGCCCACAUCGUUUUAAUGAAAAAGUGUGGAUUGGAGUUGGUGGAAGACAAAACAGAGCUCAACUUUUGAGAGGAAAAAGAGCAAACAAAAACUCAGGCGGGAACCGAAAAGCUUAGUUUCAUUUUCCUACAUUUUUCGGGAGUACUCUUUUGUUUGGAAAACAGAGAGGCCAUGACCAUCACUUGUAUGGAUUGUCUAUAACGUUGUAGCAAAAGGCAACAUCAUGGCUUUCAAAGAUCAAGUCAAUACCAAAGAUGAAACUCCAUUACAUGUCACAUCAAGGUAUGGGAAUGUUGUUCAGAUCGAACAUGGGAGAUAUCCACAUCCUCAAGAUCCUGAAAGUGGACAAAGAGAAAGACACAACCUUACAUGAGGCUGUAUGUUAUAAUCACCUUGAAGUGAUAAAACUUUUAAAGGAAGGCCAUCAACAAAAUUCAUGAUGAAAAAUCCAGCUGAACAUUUUUUUCUUUUGUUGCCCGAAACUCCACAGUGAUCAUUAAGAAAAUGAACAAGAUUUUCGUUUGCAAGAUCUGUCGGAUGUGAAAACCCCCAAGGCCCAGUAACCGGAUCUUAGAGACAAAAAUAAGGGAGGAGAAGAGCUGAUUUUGCUGGGCAGAGAAGAAGUUGGGUUCGCCUACUAUCGGACGAUUUUCCUUUCUUCUUUGUGGGAUAUCCACCAGAUUGUAACUAGAAGUGCUUUCUUCUGGCUUCUUUUUUUCUUCUUUUUUUUUUUGUAAUGUCUGAAGUGGGAUCCAACCACAUUAGAUUUAAUGUGUGUUGACUGUAGGAGACGAUUGUACAUAGCAGAACUCUAAAAUCAAUUACA